UACGUAGGUGACAAGCGUUGUCCGGAUUUACUGGGCGUAAAGAGCGCGCAGGCGGUCGUUCAAGUCGCGUGUGAAAGCCCCGGGCUCAACCCGGGAAGUGCACUCGAUACUGCGUAGCUUGAGUCUCGGAGAGGUUGGUGGAAUUCUCGGUGUAGAGGUGAAAUUCGUAGAUAUCGAGAGGAACACCGGUGGCGAAGGCGGCCAACUGGACGAAGACUGACGCUGAGACACGAAAGCGUGGGGAGCAAACAGG
Molecule: ribosomal RNA, 253 nt
Filed under: uncultured bacterium
Lineage: Bacteria
Description: partial 16S ribosomal RNA
Rfam family: Bacterial small subunit ribosomal RNA
Source: RNAcentral